RNAcentral lists this ribosomal RNA (396 nucleotides) under uncultured bacterium. Its description in RNAcentral is "partial 16S ribosomal RNA". It matches the Rfam family "Bacterial small subunit ribosomal RNA", at positions 524 to 918 of the family's 1533-position model. The record is from RNAcentral.
UACGUAGGGGGCGAGCGUUGUCCGGAAUGAUUGGGCGUAAAGGGCGCGUAGGCGGCGCGGUAAGUCUGGAGUGAAAGUCCUGCUUUCAAGGUGGGAAUUGCUUUGGAUACUGCCGCGCUUGAGUGCAGGAGAGGUUAUCGGAAUUCCCGGUGUAGCGGUGAAAUGCGUAGAGAUCGGGAGGAACACCAGUGGCGAAGGCGGGUAACUGGACUGCAACUGACGCUGAGGCGCGAAAGUGUGGGGAGCAAACAGGAUUAGAUACCCUGGUAGUCCACACUGUAAACGAUGAAUGCUAGGUGUAAGAGGUAUCGACCCCUUUUGUGCCGGAGUCAACACAAUAAGCAUUCCGCCUGGGGAGUACGGCCGCAAGGUUGAAACUCAAAUGAAUUGGCGGGG